GGGAACGUGGUUUAGUGGUAUAGCCCAUGAUAUGUUUUUGCCCAAGAGGCAACUGGGGUUCGAUUCCCCACGUCCCCA
Molecule: non-coding RNA, 78 nt
Organism: Kalaharituber pfeilii
Lineage: Eukaryota; Fungi; Ascomycota; Pezizomycetes; Pezizales; Pezizaceae
Source: the annotation of a GenBank genome assembly